RNAcentral lists this ribosomal RNA (500 nucleotides) under uncultured bacterium. RNAcentral describes it as "partial 16S ribosomal RNA". It matches the Rfam family "Bacterial small subunit ribosomal RNA", at positions 30 to 523 of the family's 1533-position model. The record is from RNAcentral.
AUUGAACGCUGGCGGCAUGCCUUACACAUGCAAGUCGAACGGCAGCACGGGAGCAAUCCUGGUGGCGAGUGGCGAACGGGUGAGUAAUAUAUCGGAACGUGCCCAGUCGUGGGGGAUAACGUAGCGAAAGCUACGCUAAUACCGCAUACGAUCUACGGAUGAAAGCGGGGGAUCGCAAGACCUCGCGCGAUUGGAGCGGCCGAUAUCAGAUUAGGUAGUUGGUGGGGUAAAGGCUCACCAAGCCGACGAUCUGUAGCUGGUCUGAGAGGACGACCAGCCACACUGGGAGUGAGACACGGCCAAGACUCCUACGGGAGGCAGCAGUGGGGAAUUUUGGACAAUGGGCGCAAGCCUGAUCCAGCAAUGCCGCGUGCAGGAUGAAGGCCUUCGGGUUGUAAACUGCUUUUGUACGGAACGAAACGGCGAGCUCUAAUACAGUUUGCUAAUGACGGUACCGUAAGAAUAAGCACCGGCUAACUACGUGCCAGCCGCCGCCGUAA